Long non-coding RNA from Piliocolobus tephrosceles (Ugandan red Colobus), 571 nucleotides. RefSeq lists it as uncharacterized. The record is from RefSeq and is a predicted model, not a curated record. Lineage: Eukaryota; Metazoa; Chordata; Mammalia; Primates; Cercopithecidae. The transcript is spliced from 3 exons.
UUGGCUUCCUAGUCCGAAGUCGCUACCGCCCACUUUCUAGCUGGACAAACAGCAUUCCCGGGCCGGGCACAACACUCACCCACGUCUUGCUCGAAGGGGUUGGCGGUGAACAAAGGCAUCUCGCCGGCGCCCGAGCCCUACUCGCUGCUGUCUAGGAUUUUUAACAUUCCUUGCAAGGCAAGUGUACUGGUGAAAUUCCCUCAAAUUUUGUUUGCCUGAGAAAGUCUUUCUCCCUCACUGUUGAAGGAUAAUUUCACUGGAUACAGAAUUCUAGGAAAAUGCAGCCCGUGCUGGGGAAGAUGCAGAUCAACAGAGCAUGCGCCAGGCGACGAUUGAAACUUACCCCGCCACGCCUAUGGAGAUGCCCCUAUCACGCCCUUAUCCCGCCCACUGCCCUCCCCCUUCCAGUACCAAUGCAUGAAAGUCAGCUGCCCGCAGGAGCCGGGGUGACUUCUUCGGCCCCCGCAUUCGUGGACCGGGGAACCUCACCCGAGAGCGCCAGCGCGACUUCCCUGUCCCCCCCACACCUGAGGACCAGAGAACCUCGCCUGAGAGUGUGUUCAUAUUUGCA